CUCAGCUUAUCCCAGUGUGCCAUGCCUUAGCGAUCAGGCAUCCCGUGAUUCUCCCGCAUCAAGACCCCGCGAUCAUUUCCUUCUCGGCCAUCCGCCCAGCCAAUCAUCAACAUCCCGAAUAAAUCCAUUUCGAUCGGCUCCUCCCAGCAUCCCGCAGUUCCCAUCCGGUGUGCCUAUCCUCCCAUGGUCCAAAGAGGGAAACCUACGAAGCAGCUAGUCAUCUCCCUCUUCCGAUCACGGCUUGGGACUAUCGUGAGCAGCUGGGAUGUAGGGCUUCCGAGUUCCAGCUUCUUCCCGUCGAUCCCGCGGUGGCCUCCAAGUGAUCCCAUGAUCAAGCCUCCCACGCCCGUCCGACUGCAAGCGUGAUCCAAGCAUCGUGCCCAGCCUUCCAGAUUCCAUCCGCGACCCAGCCGCUCGUGAAGCCCCGUUGAUCGCGUCUGCCCUCUUCACGCUCCUGGCUCCUCCCAGUGAUCCCGUGGCUAGCCGUGAAGCAUCCCGUUCCAGAUCCAAUCCGGAUUAUUUUCCUUCAUCCAGUCAUUCCGAAACUCCUUCACCUCUUCUUCUGCCUACAUCACGUCCGUUACCUCUUCCGUGCGUGAUCCCAGCAGCUACAAAGAGCCCUUGAUCCAGUGAUUCUUUCUCGCAGUCACCGCAUGAUCCAACCUGCACCGCGCCCGUGAUCAGCCUGAAUCAGCGCCCCUAAUGCAGCUUCUUCUGCCCGUUCCUCGCCAUCAAGGAGUUGCUCCAGCCCUGCAUCCAAGGAUCACGCGUCCGAUUCAGCCAUUUGCAUUCCGUCCCAGCAAUCACGCAUCCUCCCCCUCUCCAUGCUUCAAGGGUAGGGUUGAUCUAUAAAAGUGGGAGGAGAGAAGAAAACAGGGGGGAGCUCUGCUUUGGAAAAGAAGAAGGAGGAGGCCUUCGGCUGGGAGAAGUGCUCGGUUGGGCCAAAAAUCAAAACAGGAGAGGAAGCUCUGUUUUGGGCAAGAAAAGAAAAAGAAAAAAGAGAGAGUAUUUUAUUGGUUUUGGUUUGAGUUUUAUGAGAGCAAUGUGUUUUUUUUUUUUAGUUUGAGUUUUAAUUGAAAGUCUUGUUUUAAGUUUUAAUUUAGAGAGUUUUAUUUUGGUGGAGAGUUUUACUUUUAAGAUUAUUUAUUUAUGCU
Molecule: long non-coding RNA, 1154 nt
Filed under: Phoenix dactylifera (date palm)
Lineage: Eukaryota; Viridiplantae; Streptophyta; Magnoliopsida; Arecales; Arecaceae
Description: long non-coding RNA (PDAC_LNC006644)
Source: RNAcentral